GAUGAACGCUGGCGGCGUGCCUAAUACAUGCAAGUCGAGCGAACAGACAAGGAGCUUGCUCCUCUGACGUUAGCGGCGGACGGGUGAGUAACACGUGGAUAACCUACCUAUAAGACUGGGAUAACUUCGGGAAACCGGAGCUAAUACCGGAUAAUAUAUUGAACCGCAUGGUUCAAUAGUGAAAGACGGUUUUGCUGUCACUUAUAGAUGGAUCCGCGCCGCAUUAGCUAGUUGGUAAGGUAACGGCUUACCAAGGCAACGAUGCGUAGCCGACCUGAGAGGGUGAUCGGCCACACUGGAACUGAGACACGGUCCAGACUCCUACGGGAGGCAGCAGUAGGGAAUCUUCCGCAAAGGGCGAAAGCUUGACGGAGCAACGCCGCGUGAGUGAUGAAGGUCUUCGGAUCGUAAAACUCUGUUAUUAGGGAAGAACAAAUGUGUAAGUAACUAUGCACGUCUUGACGGUACCUAAUCAGAAAGCCACGGCUAACUACGUG
RNAcentral lists this ribosomal RNA (497 nucleotides) under uncultured bacterium. Its description in RNAcentral is "partial 16S ribosomal RNA". It matches the Rfam family "Bacterial small subunit ribosomal RNA", at positions 28 to 507 of the family's 1533-position model. The record is from RNAcentral.